UGGGGAAUAUUGCACAAUGGGCGCAAGCCUGAUGCAGCGACGCCGCGUGAGGGACGACGGCCUUCGGGUUGUAAACCUCUUUCAGUGCCGACGAAGCGCAAGUGACGGUAGGCACAGAAGAAGGACCGGCCAACUACGUGCCAGCAGCCGCGGUAAUACGUAGGGUCCGAGCGUUGUCCGGAAUUACUGGGCGUAAAGAGCUCGUAGGUGGUUUGUCGCGUUGUUCGUGAAAACUCACAGCUCAACUGUGGGCGUGCGGGCGAUACGGGCAGACUGGAGUACUGCAGGGGAGACUGGAAUUCCUGGUGUAGCGGUGGAAUGCGCAGAUAUCAGGAGGAACACCGGUGGCGAAGGCGGGUCUCUGGGCAGUAACUGACGCUGAGGAGCGAAAGCGUGGGGAGCGAACA
Molecule: ribosomal RNA, 407 nt
Filed under: uncultured bacterium
Lineage: Bacteria
Description: bacterial SSU rRNA
Rfam family: Bacterial small subunit ribosomal RNA
Source: RNAcentral